This 538-nucleotide ribosomal RNA is filed under the name uncultured Polyangiaceae bacterium. Its description in RNAcentral is "bacterial SSU rRNA". It matches the Rfam family "Bacterial small subunit ribosomal RNA", at positions 8 to 526 of the family's 1533-position model. The record is from RNAcentral. Lineage: Bacteria; Pseudomonadati; Myxococcota; Polyangiales; Polyangiaceae.
AGAGUUUGAUCCUGGCUCAGAACGAACGUUAGCGGCGCGCUUAACACAUGCAAGUCGCACGAGAAAGGGCUUCGGCCCCAGUAAAGUGGCGCACGGGUGAGUAACACGUGGGUAAUCUUCCCUAUGGCGGGGGAUAACAUUCCGAAAGGAGUGCUAAUACCGCAUAAGACCACGACCUCGAAAGGGGUUGAGGUUAAAGCCGGCCUCUAUACAUAAGCUGGCACCAUUGGAUGAGCCCGCGGCCCAUCAGCUAGCUGGCAGGGUAACGGCCUACCAAGGCUAAGACGGGUAGCUGGUCUGAGAGGAUGAUCAGCCACACUGGAACUGAGACACGGUCCAGACUCCUACGGGAGGCAGCAGUGGGGAAUCUUGCGCAAUGGGCGAAAGCCUGACGCAGCGACGCCGCGUGAGUGAUGAAGGCCUUCGGGUUGUAAAGCUCUGUGGAGAGGGACGAAUAAGUGCCGGCUAAUACCCUGCAUGAUGACGGUACCUCCUUAGCAAGCACCGGCUAACUCUGUGCCAGCAGCCGCGGUAAUAC